Molecule: small nucleolar RNA, 129 nt
Filed under: Physeter macrocephalus (sperm whale)
Lineage: Eukaryota; Metazoa; Chordata; Mammalia; Artiodactyla; Physeteridae
Description: Physeter catodon (sperm whale) Small nucleolar RNA SNORA27 (ENSPCTG00005021013.1)
Rfam family: Small nucleolar RNA SNORA27
About the family: ACA27 is a member of the H/ACA class of snoRNA that guide the sites of modification of uridines to pseudouridines.
Source: Rfam by way of RNAcentral
AACCCGCCUUUCGCUUUACCAGUUGGACUCCUCUGUCUUUCUUGGUUAUUCCGGGGGAGCAAAGGAAAUACCCUUUUAAAACUCAGGCACACUGGGUGUUUGUCUUGUAACCUGUCAGAGGAAACAAAC